This 300-nucleotide ribosomal RNA is filed under the name Triticum aestivum (bread wheat). Its description in RNAcentral is "partial small subunit ribosomal RNA". Lineage: Eukaryota; Viridiplantae; Streptophyta; Magnoliopsida; Poales; Poaceae. The record is from RNAcentral.
AUGACCUGCUGCUACAAGGAAGGAUGGGAAGAAGAAUCCACAUCGGUGAGUGUGAUAUUCGUGGAAAUUUCUGCUUUUCUCUUUCUGACGGACCAGUUUCACUGUCAGCUUCACCUCCUCGCCGACAUUGCAUAUAUAGAUAGCACCACUACUUCUUCUUCUACAGUGCUGGUACUAGUACUACUAGUGCUGGGAGGGGAGGGGGAGCAAUCAAGCAGUCGCGCCGCACGUGACCAUCCAUCCAUCCAAGAAAGAGAGAGAAACAGAGAGCGAGCGGAGAAGGCAACGCACGCCAAUUAA